UUUUGGGGGCUCCCAGCGGCGCCUCCUGCUCCGAUCCCGGCUCCGUUUCCAGGCGGCCGACGCCGACGGCGACCGGCGCCUGCGCGGGGAGGAGCUCCAGGCUUUCCUGCAUCCCGAGGAUUUCCCGCACCUCCUGCCCCUCGUGGCUCAGGAGACGAUCGAGGAUCUGGAUCGGAACGGGGACGGAUUGAUCCAGGUGGACGAGUACAUCGCCGAUCUCCAGGAGGCUCCCCCGGGCUCUCCGGAGCCUCCGGAGCAAUUCUGGGAUUGCCUGGAGCCCAAUGGGGAAUUUGGGAAUUCUGGAU
Molecule: non-coding RNA, 305 nt
Organism: Cyanistes caeruleus (blue tit)
Lineage: Eukaryota; Metazoa; Chordata; Aves; Passeriformes; Paridae
Source: RefSeq, a predicted model, not a curated record